GCUUCCAUAGCUCAGUGGUAGAGCACUUCCAUGGUAAGGAAGGGGUCGCCGGUUCAAUCCCGGCUGGAAGCU
RNAcentral lists this transfer RNA (72 nucleotides) under Halobacillus litoralis. Its description in RNAcentral is "tRNA-Thr". It matches the Rfam family "tRNA". From Rfam's summary of the family: Transfer RNA (tRNA) molecules are approximately 80 nucleotides in length. Their secondary structure includes four short double-helical elements and three loops (D, anti-codon, and T loops). Further hydrogen bonds mediate the characteristic L-shaped molecular structure. tRNAs have two regions of fundamental functional importance: the anti-codon, which is responsible for specific mRNA codon recognition, and the 3' end, to which the tRNAs corresponding amino acid is attached (by aminoacyl-tRNA synthetases). tRNAs cope with the degeneracy of the genetic code in two manners: having more than one tRNA (with a specific anti-codon) for a particular amino acid; and 'wobble' base-pairing, i.e. permitting non-standard base-pairing at the 3rd anti-codon position. The record is from RNAcentral. RNAcentral also lists the same sequence under 1 other name. Lineage: Bacteria; Bacillati; Bacillota; Bacilli; Caryophanales; Bacillaceae.